This 458-nucleotide long non-coding RNA is filed under the name Homo sapiens (human). Its description in RNAcentral is "HSALNT0024157". The record is from RNAcentral. Lineage: Eukaryota; Metazoa; Chordata; Mammalia; Primates; Hominidae.
CUGAGAGAGGCCCUCAGGCCUGGGCCAACCUGCACCUUGCCCAGCUGCCCCCUUAGCCCUCAGAGCCAGGUUGAGGUACUGCCCAAGCAGCAGUCAUGUCAGGAUUCUCCUUCCACUUCCAACAAAGAGCUCUUUAUGUCUUAGCCAGCAAAGGACAAGGCUAGCAUGGGCAUUUACCCCACUGCCUCAGCUGCCUCACCAGGAAUGCAGGAGAUGCAGAUGCACGGAUGAGAAAGCUUUGCCUGUCCCAAUGCACAGCGAUGCCUGACGCUGCCUCAGAGUACCUGUGCUCUGCCCAUCCAGCUUCUGGUCAUCCGAGGCCCAGGUCCCAAAGGGGCGUGGGAGGAGAUGGUGGGAGAGACAGCUAGGCCCCAUGCUGGACACCUGAGAGGGAGACCCUGGCUUUGUGUUGAGGUAAGUUCGAGAGAUCUGAGACUACCCUUGACUGUGGAUCGGCA